CUCAGGAUGAACGCUAGCGGGCAGGCUUAAUACAUGCAAGUCGUGGGGCAGCAUGAGUAGCAAUACUUGAUGGCGACCGGCAAAACGGGUGAGGAACACGUACACAACCUUCCUUCAAGCGGGGAAUAGCCCAGAGAAAUUUGGAUUAAUACCCCAUAAUAUAUUUGAUAAGGCAUCUUAUUAAUAUUAAAGCUUCGGCACUUGAUGAUGGGUGUGCGGCUGAUUAGAUAGUUGGCGGGGUAACGGCCCACCAAGUCUACGAUCAGUAGCUGAUGUGAGAGCAUGAUCAGCCACACGGGCACUGAGACACGGGCCCGACUCCUACGGGAGGCAGCAGUAAGGAAUAUUGGACAAUGGACGAAAGUCUGAUCCAGCCAUGCCGCGUGAAGGAUUAAGGUCCUCUGGAUUGUAAACUUCUUUUAUAUGGGACGAAAAAAGGGCAUUCUUGUUCACUUGACGGUACCAUAUGAAUAAGCACCGGCUAACUCCGUG
This 492-nucleotide ribosomal RNA is filed under the name uncultured bacterium. RNAcentral's name for it is "bacterial SSU rRNA". It matches the Rfam family "Bacterial small subunit ribosomal RNA", at positions 23 to 507 of the family's 1533-position model. The record is from RNAcentral.